Molecule: transfer RNA, 85 nt
Filed under: Mycobacteroides salmoniphilum
Lineage: Bacteria; Bacillati; Actinomycetota; Actinomycetes; Mycobacteriales; Mycobacteriaceae
Description: tRNA-Ser
Rfam family: tRNA
About the family: Transfer RNA (tRNA) molecules are approximately 80 nucleotides in length. Their secondary structure includes four short double-helical elements and three loops (D, anti-codon, and T loops). Further hydrogen bonds mediate the characteristic L-shaped molecular structure. tRNAs have two regions of fundamental functional importance: the anti-codon, which is responsible for specific mRNA codon recognition, and the 3' end, to which the tRNAs corresponding amino acid is attached (by aminoacyl-tRNA synthetases). tRNAs cope with the degeneracy of the genetic code in two manners: having more than one tRNA (with a specific anti-codon) for a particular amino acid; and 'wobble' base-pairing, i.e. permitting non-standard base-pairing at the 3rd anti-codon position.
Source: RNAcentral
GCGUCCGUGGCGAAACUGGGAUACGCGCUGGACUCAGACUCCAGUGCCCGAACGGGCAUGCAGGUUCGACUCCUGCCGGACGUAC